UACGUAGGGCGCAAGCGUUGUCCGGAAUUAUUGGGCGUAAAGAGCUCGUAGGCGGCUUGUCACGUCGGGUGUGAAAGCCCGGGGCUUAACCCCGGGUCUGCAUUCGAUACGGGCUAGCUAGAGUGUGGUAGGGGAGAUCGGAAUUCCUGGUGUAGCGGUGAAAUGCGCAGAUAUCAGGAGGAACACCAACAGCGAAGGCAGAUCUCUGGGACGUAACUGACGCUGAGACGCGAAAGCGUGGGGAGCAAACAGG
Molecule: ribosomal RNA, 253 nt
Filed under: uncultured bacterium
Lineage: Bacteria
Description: partial 16S ribosomal RNA
Rfam family: Bacterial small subunit ribosomal RNA
Source: RNAcentral